UACAUGUGGGGCAAGCGUUGUUCGGAAUUACUGGGCGUAAAGGGCUCGUAGGCGGCCAACUAAGUCGGAUGUGAAAUCCCCAGGCUUAACCUGGGAACUGCAUCCGAUACUGGUCGGCUUGAAUCCGGGAGAGGGAUGCAGAAUUCCAGGUGUAGCGGUGAAAUGCGUAGAUAUCUGGAGGAAUACCGGUGGCGAAGGCGGCAUCCUGGACCGGCAUUGACGCUGAACAGCGAAAGCUAGGGGAGCAAACGGG
RNAcentral lists this ribosomal RNA (253 nucleotides) under uncultured bacterium. RNAcentral's name for it is "partial 16S ribosomal RNA". It matches the Rfam family "Bacterial small subunit ribosomal RNA", at positions 524 to 776 of the family's 1533-position model. The record is from RNAcentral.